AGAGUUUGAUCAUGGCUCAGGAUGAACGCUAGCGGCAGGCUUAACACAUGCAAGUCGAGGGGCAGCGCGGAGUAGCAAUACUCUGGCGGCGACCGGCGGAAGGGUGCGUAACACGUGAGCGACUUGCCCGUCACAGGGAGAUAACCGCUGGAAACGGCGACUAAUAUCCCAUAUGAUGGCGAUCUGCAUGGAUUGUCAUUGAAAGAUUCAUCGGUGGCGGAUAGGCUCGCGGGGCAUUAGCUAGACGGCGGGGCAACGGCCCACCGUGGCGACGAUGCCUAGGGGUUCUGAGAGGAAGACCCCCCACACUGGGACUGAGACACGGCCCAGACUCCUACGGGAGGCAGCAGUGAGGAAUAUUGGUCAAUGGGCGGAAGCCUGAACCAGCCAUGCCGCGUGAAGGACUAAGGCCCUAUGGGUCGUAAACUUCUUUAGACGCAGAGCAAUAAGGGUCUCGUGAGAUCCGAUGAGAGUAUGCGUAGAAUAAGCAUCGGCUAACUCCGUGCCAGCAGCCGCGGUAAUACGGGGGAUGCGAGCGUUAUCCGGAUUUAUUGGGUUUAAAGGGUGCGUAGGCGGAAGUGCAAGUCAGCGGUGAAAUCCCCGCGCUCAACGCGGGAGUUGCCGUUGAUACUGUACAUCUGGAAUGCUCUUGCCGUGGGAGGAAUGAGUAGUGUAGCGGUGAAAUGCAUAGAUAUUACUCAGAACACCGAUUGCGAAGGCAUCUCACGAAGGGGCGAUUGACGCUGAGGCACGAAAGCGUGGGUAUCGAACAGGAUUAGAUACCCUGGUAGUCCACGCAGUAAACGAUGAUGGCUAACUGUCGGGUUUUAGGAUUCGGCGGCCAAGCGAAAGCGAUAAGCCAUCCA
RNAcentral lists this ribosomal RNA (866 nucleotides) under uncultured bacterium. RNAcentral describes it as "bacterial SSU rRNA". It matches the Rfam family "Bacterial small subunit ribosomal RNA", at positions 8 to 871 of the family's 1533-position model. The record is from RNAcentral.